UACCUGAUUGAUUCUGUCAGCGCGAUAUGCUCAAGUAAAAGAUUAAGCCAUGCAUGCUUUGAUUCAUAAAUGAAAUUGCGUACGGCUCAUUAGAGCAGAUAUCACCUUUCUCGGAAUCCUGAAAAGGAUAACUGCGGAAAUUCUGGAGCUAAUACAUGCGACUAUACUCCAACGCAAGGCGGGGUGCAAUUAUUAUAACAGACCAAACGUUUUCGGACGUUGUUUGUUGACUCUGAAUACCGUCGUUUACUGUCAGUUUCGACUGACUCUAUCCGAGAAGGGUGUCUGCCCUUUCAACUAGAUGGUAAUCUAUUGGACUACCAUGGUUGUUACGGGUAACGGAGAAUUAGGGUUCGACUCCGGAGAGGGAGCCUUAGAAACGGCUACCACGUCCAAGGAAGGCAGCAGGCGCGAAACUUAUCCACUGUUGAGUAUGAGAUAGUGACUAAAAAUAUAAAGACUCAUCCUUUUGGAUGAGUUAUUUCAAUGAGUUGAAUAUAAAUUAUUCUUCGAGUAGCAAGGAAAGGGCAAGUCUGGUGCCAGCAGCCGCGGUAAUUCCAGCUCUCCUAGUGUAUCUCGUUAUUGCUGCGGUUAAAAAGCUCGUAGUUGGAUCUAGGUUACGUGCCGCAGUUCGCAAUUUGCGUUAACUGUGGUCGUGACUUCUAAUUUGCUGGUUUGAGGUUGGGUUCGCCCUUCAACUGCCAGCAGGUUUACCUUGAAUAAAUCAGAGUGCUCAAUACAGGCGCUUGCUUGAAUAGCUCAUCAUGGAAUAAUGAAACAGGACUUCGGUUCUUUUUGUUGGUUCUAGAAUUGAUCUAAUGGUUAAGAGGGACAAACCGGGGGCAUUCGUAUCAUUACGCGAGAGGUGAAAUUCGUGGACCGUAGUGAGACGCCCAAUAGCGAAAGCAUUUGCCAAGAAUGUCUUCAUUAAUCAAGAACGAAAGUCAGAGGUUCGAAGGCGAUUAGAUACCGCCCUAGUUCUGACCGUAAACGAUGCCAUCUCGCGAUUCGGAGGGUUCAUGCCCUACCGAGGAGCUACCCCGGAA
This 1046-nucleotide non-coding RNA is filed under the name Caenorhabditis japonica. RNAcentral describes it as "Eukaryotic small subunit ribosomal RNA". It matches the Rfam family "Eukaryotic small subunit ribosomal RNA", at positions 1 to 1097 of the family's 1831-position model. Lineage: Eukaryota; Metazoa; Nematoda; Chromadorea; Rhabditida; Rhabditidae. The record is from Rfam by way of RNAcentral.